GGAGCUAGACUCAGCAGCUAAACAAAGAGCAACUGGGAGACAGAAAUGAUGGAAGCUCAAGAGGGAAGAUUCAAAACUCCUGCUGUUUAAUUUGUGCCUGGAACUGAGAACAAUCAUCCAGUUGGCCUCCACAAGGCCCAUGGCCACUAUGGUCCUGCCAACCCCGAGGCCUGAAAUGAAGCCUGGCAAAUCAAGUGGGGCCUCAACAGAGGAAAUGCUGCCAGCUAAAAACACCGGAUGUAAUCGAGACCACAAGAGACACAUACUUGGCUAUACACAUCGAACUGAAAAGAGGUGCUUCUGAAGAUACAAAGAAGAAUGUGACUAUUUCAAUAAGAGACAUGCACAAAUGACCAAGUGACAAAGCAGAACCUCAUCAGUAGCAAUAUGGCGGAGAUCUAAACAAUACACAGUAGGAGAACAGGGAGGAGACUGACCACAGAGUGACUACAGAAAACUGUGGAAACCAUUCUGAAAGGGCUUGUAGGAAUGGGCAAGGCUGACACAAAUGUGUUUUUCUGGCCCAUAAGAAACAGUAAAGUUCACAAACGUUUGUCAUCCCCACACUUUUCUUUCUUCACUCUUCCUUUUCACCUGGUGUCUCAAAU
Molecule: long non-coding RNA, 608 nt
Organism: Mesoplodon densirostris (Blainville's beaked whale)
Lineage: Eukaryota; Metazoa; Chordata; Mammalia; Artiodactyla; Ziphiidae
Exons: 3
Source: RefSeq, a predicted model, not a curated record